UACGGGGGGGGCAAGCGUUGUUCGGAAUUACUGGGCGUAAAGGGCUCGUAGGCGGCCAACUAAGUCGGAUGUGAAAUCCCCAGGCUUAACUUGGGAACUGCGUCUGAUACUGGUUGGCUUGAAUUCGGGAGAGGGAUGCAGAAUUCCAGGUGUAGCGGUGAAAUGCGUAGAUAUCUGGAGGAAUACCGGUGGCGAAGGCGGCAUCCUGGACCGAGAUUGACACUGAGGAGCGAAAGCCAGGGGAGCAAACGGG
RNAcentral lists this ribosomal RNA (253 nucleotides) under uncultured bacterium. RNAcentral describes it as "partial 16S ribosomal RNA". It matches the Rfam family "Bacterial small subunit ribosomal RNA", at positions 524 to 776 of the family's 1533-position model. The record is from RNAcentral.